Daphnia pulicaria is the source of this 1103-nucleotide long non-coding RNA. RefSeq lists it as uncharacterized. The transcript has 4 exons. Lineage: Eukaryota; Metazoa; Arthropoda; Branchiopoda; Diplostraca; Daphniidae. The record is from RefSeq and is a predicted model, not a curated record.
GCUGCUGCUGGUCGGUGUGUAAAUGUGGCGGCAGGACGGUCGGCGCCAGGUAUUACAACCUGACAGACAGUCAAGACAAGAGAAGAGGAGGGGGGAAGGUUUAUGUACCCCCAGGUGAGAACGAAAAAGAAUCGAGAGAUUUUUCUUUUUUAUUUAAAAAUAAAAUCAUUAUUGCAUCGUCAGCGUCCGGACUUUGUUGAAUGAAUUUUUUUAUUUUGUCUGGAUAAGAUUUGUUUUUUUUAAUUAUUAUUAAAAUAAAAAAGGGAAUUAAAUGGCGAACGGUAGCAGCUACCCAGCUAGCUAGAGAAUAGAGAAUGAGAUUUUAUUUACAAGUAUAACAAUGUUCUGUGUUCACGCACGAAUGACGGAAUGAGAGAAGCUGUGGAAAGCCUAAGAGGGUUCCUGCAGGGUCUGAUUAUGUUUCGGUCUUUCACAGUUUAAUUAUCUGCGGUUUUUUUUCGUGCAAAUCUUUACUUUUAUUGAGACGGACGAUUAGAUACACACACAAUCACGAUCCGUUCGAGCGUUGGUGAGACAACCGCUUUGAUCGUUUUGGAUUGAAAGGGUCGAUUUAAUUUUCUAUCGAUAUUUUAUCAUUUGGCUAAUUAGCAGAUUAGUGUCGUCUGCUUUCGUUUUGUUUACAAGUUACGAAAAAGAGAAUAAGUUCCAGAUUACAAAGUUAAAACGAACACUUUGUGCACGAGAAAUAGCAGAACAAAUAAAAUUACAAAAAUGUGGUCGUCGCGUGAACUUUGUGGUGUCACCAUGCUCUCCACUCUGUUCUCAGAUUGGAGGCCUGAGCCAGCCAUAUUGGCCAGCCAUAUUGGCAACACGAUAUGCAAGUUUUGCUUUUGCUGCUAUCUGAUCUGUCAUCAGCAGCAAUCUCAGUUUCAUCGCUUGGGUAAACAGCAUCCCAUGUAAAAUUGGUGACAUUCUUCCCAUGUGAGUGUGGGUUCACGACGAGUCUGAGGCCCCUUUUCCCACCUGCUGGUGGAUUCAACACUUAACUGCGGAUGGAUGGAGCACUUGUGGAUACCUGGCCAGGCUGAAAAGAAAUAAUUUCGAAUCAAAUUGCCAAUUUGCCAAACGGCGGUUUCAACUGG